RNAcentral lists this ribosomal RNA (523 nucleotides) under Holcosus leptophrys. RNAcentral describes it as "partial 16S ribosomal RNA". It matches the Rfam family "Bacterial large subunit ribosomal RNA", at positions 1817 to 2597 of the family's 2925-position model. Lineage: Eukaryota; Metazoa; Chordata; Lepidosauria; Squamata; Teiidae. The record is from RNAcentral.
AGCCUUUAGCCCAACAAGUAUUAAAGGUGAUGCCUGCCCAGUGAUUUUUUAACGGCCGCGGGACCCUACACCGUGCAAAGGUAGCAUAAUCACUUGUCACCUAAAUAGUGACUAGUAUGAACGGCCCCAUGAGGACUUUCCUGUCUCUUGUAAUCAAUCAAUGAAACUGAUCUCCCAGUCCAAAAGCUGGAAUACACCCACAAGACGAAAAGACCCUGUGGAACUUCCAAGUGUUAAGCCAACAACAUGACUAAAUACUUUUAGUUGGGGCAACUUUGGAACAAAACAAAACUUCCAAUACCUGGAAUAUUAAACGCACCAAAAUCUAGGUCUACACACCAACCUUUCCCAGCCCUUCGACCCAGCACCGCUGAUUAAAGAAACAAGCUACCCCAGGGAUAACAGCGCCAUCCCCUCUUAGAGUCCCAAUCGACGAGCGGGGCUUACGACCUCGAUGUUGGAUCAGGGCCCCCAAACAGUGCAGCAGCUGUUAAUGGUUUGUUUGUUCAACAAUUAAUGCCCU